RNAcentral lists this transfer RNA (75 nucleotides) under Salmonella enterica subsp. enterica serovar Typhimurium. RNAcentral's name for it is "tRNA-Gly". It matches the Rfam family "tRNA". From Rfam's summary of the family: Transfer RNA (tRNA) molecules are approximately 80 nucleotides in length. Their secondary structure includes four short double-helical elements and three loops (D, anti-codon, and T loops). Lineage: Bacteria; Pseudomonadati; Pseudomonadota; Gammaproteobacteria; Enterobacterales; Enterobacteriaceae. The record is from RNAcentral.
CGGGCAUCGUAUAAUGGCUAUUACCUCAGCCUUCCAAGCUGAUGAUGCGGGUUCGAUUCCCGCUGCCCGCUCCAA